This is a long non-coding RNA of Hippocampus zosterae (dwarf seahorse), 1625 nucleotides long. RefSeq lists it as uncharacterized. The transcript is spliced from 3 exons. NCBI's taxonomy places the organism in Eukaryota, Metazoa, Chordata, Actinopteri, Syngnathiformes, Syngnathidae. The record is from RefSeq and is a predicted model, not a curated record.
GCAGUCACUGGCAAAGGUUACGACAGGUCGAAUUGUCUUCACACAGUCGGACUCUCUUGUUCUAUAACUCAAAAUCCAAAACACCUUUUUUCCUUCAUGUUCAUUUGUUUUGUAUUUUUAACUUCGCAUUAGAGGAACAUGCUAUUUUCUUUUUUCAUUAUAUCAUGUAUUUAUAUUUAAUCAACUAUUAAUGCCGAGGUCACUGAGUUUGGCAACAGUCAGUGCAGAGGAACUGCCACUACGCAAGAGCUUUGAUGACUGAAAAUACCUUGAUCAGUCUCAGCCAAUUGCUUUGAGAGAAGACACAGCCAACACGCCACAGCAUCACCUGACAGCCAGAGCGAGUGUGCGCAUGCGCUGACUGAACUGCUCUCUGCCAAUCAUCAUUGGGGUUACUUUCAGUCAUUGACAUCCUUUCUCAGUCACCAGAUGCUCCACUGCGGCUCGUUUCUAAGGUCCACUGAUUAUCAUGACCGAUGACAAUAUAUUACUGUGUGGCAAUUUGCGAUAUCUUGAAUUAGACAUUACAUUACAGUAAAUGAGAUUAGUCUUUCAAAAAAUGUCAUAUAGGCUGUAUUCCUGCAGAUGGCUUUCCUACUAUCAAGUCAAUUCAAGUUAUUUUGUGAGCCCUUAAUCACAUAACAGUCAAAGACCUUCAAAAUGACAGCCCCUCCUGGUAUAGGUUACCAUCCAGGUAAGGAAAGGGAAAAUGCAUUUGUGAAAAAGAAAUAACACUAAGUUAGAUAUGAUAUGAGUGCAUUUUGAAAUUACAAGUUCACUUAUUAUUUGAACUAUUUCUCUUUCAUACACAGCUAUUUGCAUUUUGGGGACUUUCUGAAUUGCCCCAAGAUAGCAUACUAUGGAAUCCAAAGCGUCCCUCUUCCGUGCAAAAAAAUAUUCUGAUAACAGCAUUGCGUACAUGUUAUGAGACACAUGUUCCAUCAGUGAUUAUUGUUUAAAUCUUAUGUUCAUUAACAUAAAUGUUCCCACAGUUACAUGAGACAGUAAUGAAACAAAUAUUUUGAAAAAUGAAAUUUACCAUUCAUGUUAACAGUUUUAUUUAAGAUUCAAUUGGCCUUGGUAACUGAGUUGAGAUUCAAUUUGGUCAAAUGGGGGUCGGGCAGGGGAGGGGUCAAGGAAAAAUGGCAUUUUAGAGGGUACUCCAGACUUAUUUGGUAUUUUUAAAAGUAUAUUGAAAUAUUCUUUCUUUUUUAUAUAGUUUUGGUCUCAGAAGAAGUAAAUUUACUCAGAAACACAUGUUUUAGUAUUUCGUAUGUAGAUGAUUUAAAAAUACAAUGGGUGUGAUGUAAAAUGUUGGCCAAUUCGGAAAUGACCACUCUAAUCAGAGGACCCCCUUCUCAGAUUGGCUUACAAGUAUUAGUUCACAAUAUCCACCAUUUGCUCAGGCAAGCCAUAAUUCUGUGAUGUUUCAAAUGCUGAAACCUGCCUUAAAAACUCAACUACUGCAAAAGGAAGAAUAUUGGUGAGAAGGGCUGUUAAUUUAUUUGUUAUGGAGACUUUUAGAAGCAUCUGAAGCGCCCGUUCCAUGUUGUUAUAUACAGUAUAUAUUUUUUUUUAAAUCUUCAGAGAUGGCGGUCUCCUGCCAUGUUGCUACAACAGGAAUA